This 496-nucleotide ribosomal RNA is filed under the name uncultured bacterium. RNAcentral describes it as "partial 16S ribosomal RNA". It matches the Rfam family "Bacterial small subunit ribosomal RNA", at positions 28 to 507 of the family's 1533-position model. The record is from RNAcentral.
GAUGAACGCUGGCGGCGUGCCUAAUACAUGCCAGUCGAGCGAACAGACGAGGAGCUUGCUCCUCUGACGUUAGCGGCGGACGGGUGAGUAACACGUGGAUAACCUACCUAUAAGACUGGGAUAACUUCGGGAAACCGGAGCUAAUACCGGAUAAUAUAUUGAACCGCAUGGUUCAAUAGUGAAAGACGGUUUUGCUGUCACUUAUAGAUGGAUCCGCGCCGCAUUAGCUAGUUGGUAAGGUAACGGCUUACCAAGGCGACGAUGCGUAGCCGACCUGAGAGGGUGAUCGGCCACACUGGAACUGAGACACGGUCCAGACUCCUACGGGAGGCAGCAGUAGGGAAUCUUCCGCAAUGGCGAAAGCCUGACGGAGCAACGCCGCGUGAGUGAUGAAGGUCUUCGGAUCGUAAAACUCUGUUAUUAGGGAAGAACAAAUGUGUAAGUAACUAUGCACGUCUUGACGGUACCUAAUCAGAAAGCCACGGCUAACUACGUG